Molecule: ribosomal RNA, 466 nt
Filed under: uncultured bacterium
Lineage: Bacteria
Description: bacterial SSU rRNA
Rfam family: Bacterial small subunit ribosomal RNA
Source: RNAcentral
UCCUACGGGAGGCAGCAGUGAGGAAUCUUGCGCAAUGGGGGCAACCCUGACGCAGCAACGCCGCGUGAGUGAUGAAGGCCUUCGGGUCGUAAAGCUCUGUCAGAUGGGAAGAAAGUCUUCGUGACGAAUAAUCACGGAGAUUGACGGUACCGUCAAAGGAAGCACCGGCUAACUCCGUGCCAGCAGCCGCGGUAAUACGGAGGGUGCUAGCGUUGUUCGGAAUUAUUGGGCGUAAAGAGCGUGUAGGCGGCCAGGUAAGUCAGAUGUGAAAACCCUUGGCUUAACUAAGGAAGUGCAUUUGAAACUGCCUGGCUUGAGUACGGGAGGGGAAAGCGGAAUUCCCGGUGUAGAGGUGAAAUUCGUAGAUAUCGGGAGGAACACCGGUGGCGAAGGCGGCUUUCUGGACCGAUACUGACGCUGAGACGCGAAAGCGUGGGGAGCAAACAGGAUUAGAUACCCCGGUAGC